RNAcentral lists this long non-coding RNA (389 nucleotides) under Olea europaea (common olive). Its description in RNAcentral is "long non-coding RNA (OEUR_LNC012735)". Lineage: Eukaryota; Viridiplantae; Streptophyta; Magnoliopsida; Lamiales; Oleaceae. The record is from RNAcentral.
UUGAAAAACAAAAUUCGAAGAAACGAUAGCAAUAACAUGGAUUUGAAUAUUCAUAAAGAAAAAGCAUACGAUCCAAGAUGAAGGAGAACAGAUCUAACCGCUUAGAAAGAACUUACAGAGAAAUAAAAACUUUGUUAAAAUCCUAGCCGCAGAGAGCACGAGAGUAAAGACACGUUAGUAGGGUUUGUAUUAUUCCGACAAUUUAUAUAUGUGGUAGGGUUUCUGUGCGAUAGUCGACUUUACUGUUUUCAAUUUAGGUAAUUCAUCGAAUUUGUUAGCCUUUGGAGCACGGUUGUGUGACUUGUGUAAUUUCAAAAUUUUCUUUUCCUAUUUGUUCAUGCCACAAUUAAGGACAUAUUCGGCAAUAAUUAUGAGAAUUGAUUUUUUGA